This is a long non-coding RNA of Melanotaenia boesemani (Boeseman's rainbowfish), 98 nucleotides long. RefSeq lists it as uncharacterized. The record is from RefSeq and is a predicted model, not a curated record. The transcript is spliced from 3 exons. NCBI's taxonomy places the organism in Eukaryota, Metazoa, Chordata, Actinopteri, Atheriniformes, Melanotaeniidae.
ACAACUUCUUGUGCCAUGGAGAGAUGGGCAUCAGUGGUGGGCCUGAGGAGGUUACAGCUCAGGAUAUGAGGAACCUGAAGGCAGAGGUGCAAAAUGCA